Molecule: ribosomal RNA, 271 nt
Filed under: uncultured bacterium
Lineage: Bacteria
Description: partial 16S ribosomal RNA
Rfam family: Bacterial small subunit ribosomal RNA
Source: RNAcentral
UACAGAGAGUGCAAGCGUUAAUCGGAAUUACUGGGCGUAAAGCGCGCGUAGGCGGAUAUUUAAGUCGGAUGUGAAAUCCCUGAGCUUAACUCGGGAAUGGCAUUCGAUACUGGAUGUCUGGAGUAUGGUAGAGGGAAGUGGAAUUUCUGGUGUAGCGGUGAAAUGCGUAGAUAUCAGAAAGAACACCAGUGGCGAAGGCGACUUCCUGGACCAAUACUGACGCUGAGGCGCGAAAGCGUGGGGAGCAAACAGGAUUAGAAACCCGGGUAGU